Molecule: ribosomal RNA, 301 nt
Filed under: uncultured bacterium
Lineage: Bacteria
Description: partial 16S ribosomal RNA
Rfam family: Bacterial small subunit ribosomal RNA
Source: RNAcentral
CAGUCGCCGCGGUAAUACGUAGGUGGCAAGCGUUGUCCGGAAUUAUUGGGCGUAAAGCGCGCGCAGGUGGUUUAAUAAGUCUGAUGUGAAAGCCCACGGCUCAACCGUGGAGGGUCAUUGGAAACUGUUAAACUUGAGUGCAGGAGAGAAAAGUGGAAUUCCUAGUGUAGCGGUGAAAUGCGUAGAGAUUAGGAGGAACACCAGUGGCGAAGGCGGCUUUUUGGCCUGUAACUGACACUGAGGCGCGAAAGCGUGGGGAGCAAACAGGAUUAGAUACCCCUGUAGUCCCUGUCUCUUAUAC